AUGCAACAUCGCGUUGAGCCCUGGAAAGGGUGCUGGUUGUCGAAGGCUGCUCAUGUGAUCCUCAUCAACUCCUCGCUCGCCAGCCUUCUCUGGUUCCUCAUGAGCUUCUAUAGCCUUCAUGAGACGCUCCAUAAGGAAAUUGCUAAGUACCAGUCCAGAUUCUUCUGGGCUGGCAAGGAUGACAAGCAAAAGUACCACAUGGUGAGCUGGCCGGACAUCUGCAAACCCAAGGACCAGGGUGGUCUUGGGAUUUUGUCCUCCCUGUGCAUGAACAUUGCCCUCCUGACCCGUUGGCUCUAGCGCAUUGCUAAUGGCGACAGAGGCGUUUGGCUC
This 333-nucleotide ribosomal RNA is filed under the name Triticum aestivum (bread wheat). RNAcentral's name for it is "partial small subunit ribosomal RNA". Lineage: Eukaryota; Viridiplantae; Streptophyta; Magnoliopsida; Poales; Poaceae. The record is from RNAcentral.